Molecule: non-coding RNA, 1962 nt
Organism: Heterocephalus glaber (naked mole-rat)
Lineage: Eukaryota; Metazoa; Chordata; Mammalia; Rodentia; Bathyergidae
Source: RefSeq, a predicted model, not a curated record
CGCCACAGGCAAAUGCACAGGUCCAUCUGCUCCCCUGGUGGCCGCAGUCUGUGGGAGGAUAGGAAUGAGAAGGAAGAAGACUUCAGCUCUUGCUGUUCCCUUCCAGAGUGGAAAUCACAAGAUCAGUGGGCAGGAGCUGUGGAAUUAUUCAACAGAUCACUCAUCCCAGAUCAAAUGGGUCAAUUGGCUCCACUUCCAGAAAGGUCUUGACACUUCUUGAAUUGUCAGGCUAAGACCUGAAGAAGGAGGAACCCCUGGAUUCCUGAGUCAAGGUGAAGUUGGGCUGCCAAGAACCAGGAGAGUGGAGAUUGUCAGGAAGGAAAGUUUGGAUACUGAAGGUGGACCAGGUCAUGACAAGAAUUAUGACCUGAUCUCUGGUACUUGUCAAGUUCUAAAGGCUGUUCAGUGGUACAUCUGGGACACUGUCUAUUCCUCAAAGAUCCCUACUCAGCAAGACUGGGCCAUUUUCAAAGGGGAAGAAGGAUGAUAGAGCCCUUUACCGCCCCCUUCCAAAGAGCUCCUGGUGAAUUUUAAGAUCUCUUGAGGUCAAAGAGUAGGACAGUCAGUUCUGGAAGAGCUGAAAUGACUCUGUCUUUUGCUUCUCUGCAAGAACUGAUGAAUAAUUCAAAGCAAAAAGUACAGAAGCUCUGCCAGAGAAGGGCAGCUCAGAGCAGAGACAUCCUGCUAGGUUGCCAUGGGACUGAGUUCUCAAAGGAAAGGCCCUCUCUCCAUCUUGUGCCCUCCUUAGUAUCCCUAACACGGGUCUCACUUGGCUCCUAGGAAGCUGUGUUCUUUUUCAGCCAAGGAAGUAAAUGCUCACUCCAGAAAGGCCCUGGAGAAACUUCAAAACUUGAAGGGAACAAGAGAGAAUGAAGAUGCCAAAGCCCCCCUGCCCAGACAUUUGCAUUGUGAUGAGAGGCCAAAUGAGAGGGUAUCACCGAGGAGAAGAGGAGAGGUAGGAAAAGCGUUUGGCUUGCUGGGGAACGCCGGAGACUUGUCUGGACCUCACUGCUGCCACCUUCCCCACUCGGACACAGGCUCUUCCAAAGGCAAGCCUUGUCCACAAAGCAGCCCUUCCCCAUAGGCUCAUCUUGCUCUAGACUUGUUGAUUAUCAGAAAGAGUCAGUAUCAGGAGACCAUGAACACAGCUGAUGCCUGCCUCCAGCUGGAACUAACACACCGACAAGUCAGAUUCCUUGGCCAGAGAGAUAACGAUCCAGUUGACUGGGCUUGGCCUCCAAAUCCAGGUGUCCAGGAUAUUUUAUUGCAUCUUAUCACACUGAGAAAAUACUUGUAAGCAAACGGAGCCCACGCCGCUUCCUCUGGACAAGCAGCUGUGCAAAGGUCCUGACACACAAGCCCAUGAUCACAGACUUGCCCAACAGAAAGGCAAUCCUGCUCCUCCCAGCCUCUCUUUGCUUUCCUCACCCUGUGAGGAUGACUUGAAGACUGUCCUAGGAAGCCACACCCCAAAAUAAUGAGAAGAAAGCCUGUGCCAAGAUAAGUGAACCUUCAGAGCGUGCCUUAUUCAUACCACUUACGGUAUUCAUACCUAUUUAAGGAUAAAGAAAGCAGUUAUAUAAAAGUGUGGAAUGGCAACUAAUCAGAAAUCAUAGCAGCCAAAUCCAGGUUUUGCUGUGAGACAAAGGAAUGGGUGUUGAGCUCAGUCAAUCCUCAUUAAUCCUCAGCAACACUCCCCAAAACACAGAGUACGGCACAGUGCUGAGUGUAGAUUCUAAUCAGUGAACCAAACCCCGGCGUCUUAGACAUAGUCAUUCCUUGGAAUAGUGUGGUCUGAUAACUUUUUGGUUACCUAGUGAUAAUUAAACAUCAAAUUUCACCAAAACAGAUGUCUCCACUUUUUUUGUUGAUAGAGAUUGCCCUAUUUCCCCAAAAACAUGUAAUUGAGGGCAGGAGGAAUGAUGCCAUGGGAGUCUGUGAAUGUGUGUGCACAUAUGUGAG